This 497-nucleotide ribosomal RNA is filed under the name uncultured bacterium. RNAcentral describes it as "partial 16S ribosomal RNA". It matches the Rfam family "Bacterial small subunit ribosomal RNA", at positions 28 to 507 of the family's 1533-position model. The record is from RNAcentral.
GAUGAACGCUGGCGGCGUGCCUAAUACAUGCAAGUCGAGCGAACAGACGAGGAGCUUGCUCCUCUAACGUUAGCGGCGGACGGGUGAGUAACACGUGGAUAACCUACCUAAAAGACUGGGAUAACUUCGGGAAACCGGAGCUAAUACCGGAUAAUAUAUUGAACCGCAUGGUUCAAUAGUGAAAGACGGUUUUGCUGUCACUUAUAGAUGGAUCCGCGCCGCAUUAGCUAGUUGGUAAGGUAACAGCUUACCAAGGCAACGAUGCGUAGCCGACCUGAGAGGGUGAUCGGCCACACUGGAACUGAGACACGGUCCAGACUCCUACGGGAGGCAGCAGUAGGGAAUCUUCCGCAAUGGGCGAAAGCCUGACGGAGCAACGCCGCGUGAGUGAUGAAGGUCUUCGGAUCGUAAAACUCUGUUAUUAGGGAAGAACAAAUGUGUAAGUAACUAUGCACGUCUUGACGGUACCUAAUCAGAAAGCCACGGCUAACUACGUG